AAUGUUUGGGCAUCAGAGAGGGUCUGGGAUGUUAAGUAAACUCAGAAAAACCAUUAUCUUCAUAUAGAAUUACAGCCUCCGAAAGGAUGGCAUCCACGGUGGAUUCAUUACAGGUCGACAGCCCAGAAGUGCUACGUAGUAAGUACUCCCAGGAGCGACCCCCAACCAGCGAAGGACCGGAGAUGGUGGACCCAAGCUUGCUUGACCAUGGUGGGGCAGCCAGGCAUGACUCUACCCAGCCCCAGGUUGCCCUGUGAUAACCUGUUCAUCAACACAGUUUCUGUUAGCUUUUCACCCUUCCCUUCCUCCCUUCCCUGUUCCC
RNAcentral lists this long non-coding RNA (322 nucleotides) under Callithrix jacchus (white-tufted-ear marmoset). RNAcentral's name for it is "lncRNA (ENSCJAG00000086516.1)". Lineage: Eukaryota; Metazoa; Chordata; Mammalia; Primates; Cebidae. The record is from RNAcentral.